RNAcentral lists this ribosomal RNA (253 nucleotides) under uncultured bacterium. Its description in RNAcentral is "partial 16S ribosomal RNA". It matches the Rfam family "Bacterial small subunit ribosomal RNA", at positions 524 to 776 of the family's 1533-position model. The record is from RNAcentral.
UACAGAGGGGGCGAGCGUUGUUCGGAAUUACUGGGCGUAAAGGGCGCGUAGGCGGCCAACUAAGUCAGACGUGAAAUCCCUCGGCUCAACCCCGGAACUGCCUCCAAAACUGCUGGUCUGGAGGUCGAGAGAGGUGAGUGGAAUUCCGAGUGUAGAGGUGAAAUUCGUAGAUAUUCGGAGGAACACCAGUGGCGAAGGCGGCUCACUGGCUCGAUACUGACGCUGAGGUGCGAAAGCGUGGGGAGCAAACAGG